AUUGAACGCUGGCGGCAGGCCUAACACAUGCAAGUCGAGCGGAUGAAGGGAGCUUGCUCCUGGAUUCAGCGGCGGACGGGUGAGUAAUGCCUAGGAAUCUGCAUGGUAGUGGGGGAUAACGUCCGGAAACGGGCGCUAAUACCGCAUACGUCCUGAGGGAGAAAGUGGGGGAUCUUCGGACCUCACGCUAUCAGAUGAGCCUAGGUCGGAUUAGCUAGUUGGUGGGGUAAAGGCCUACCAAGGCGACGAUCCGUAACUGGUCUGAGAGGAUGAUCAGUCACACUGGAACUGAGACACGGUCCAGACUCCUACGGGAGGCAGCAGUGGGGAAUAUUGGACAAUGGGCGAAAGCCUGAUCCAGCCAUGCCGCGUGUGUGAAGAAGGUCUUCGGAUUGUAAAGCACUUUAAGUUGGGAGGAAGGGCAGUAAGUUAAUACCUUGCUGUUUUGACGCUACCAACAGAAUAAGCACCGGCUAACUUCGUG
RNAcentral lists this ribosomal RNA (484 nucleotides) under uncultured bacterium. RNAcentral describes it as "partial 16S ribosomal RNA". It matches the Rfam family "Bacterial small subunit ribosomal RNA", at positions 30 to 507 of the family's 1533-position model. The record is from RNAcentral.